AGAGUUUGAUUAUGGCUCAGGAUGAACGCUGGCGGCGUGCCUAACACAUGCAAGUCGAACGUGAUCCCGAUUUCGGUUGGGUGAAAGUGGCGAACGGGUGAGUAACACGUUGGUGACCUGCCCCGAAGCGGGGGAUAACUCUGGGAAACCAGAGCUAAAACCCCCAGAUGUUUAAGGGAUUAGAGGCCUUAAACUAAAAACUCCGGUGCUUUGGGAGGGGCCUGCGGGCUAUCAGCUAGUUGGUGGGGUAAAGGCCCUACCAAGGCGAAGACGGCUAGGGGGCGUGAGAGCGUGACCCCCCACAAUGGAACUGAGAAACGGUCCAUACUCCUACGGGAGGCAGCAGUGAGGAAUAUUGAGCAAUGGGCGCAAAACGCCUGACUCAGCAACGCCGCGUGGAUGAUGACGGCCUUCGGGUUAGUAAAUUCCUUUCUGGGGGAAGAUAAUGACGGUACCCCAGGAAUAAGUUCCGGCUAACUACGUGCCAGCCGCCGC
Molecule: ribosomal RNA, 495 nt
Filed under: uncultured bacterium
Lineage: Bacteria
Description: bacterial SSU rRNA
Rfam family: Bacterial small subunit ribosomal RNA
Source: RNAcentral